GCAGGGAAUCUUGCGCAAUGGGCGAAAGCCUGACGCAGCCAUGCCGCGUGAAUGAUGAAGGUCUUAGGAUUGUUAAAUUCUUUCACCGGGGACGAUAAUGACGGUACCCGGAGAAGAAGCCCCGGCUAACUUCGUGCCAGCAGCCGCGCUAAUACGAAGGGGGCUCGCGUUGCUCGGAAUUACUGGGCGUACAGGGAGCGUAGGCGGAUAGUUUAGUCAGAGGUGAAAGCCCAGGGCUCAACCUUGGAAUUGCCUUUGAUACUGGCUAUCUUGAGGAUGGAAUAUGUAUGUGGAACUCCGAGUGUAGAGGUGAAAUUCGAAGAUAUUCGGAAGAACACCAUUGACGAAGGCGACAUACUGGUCCAUUACUGACGCUGAGACUCGAAAGCGUGGGGAGCAAACAGUAUUAGAUACCCUAGUAGUCC
RNAcentral lists this ribosomal RNA (425 nucleotides) under uncultured bacterium. RNAcentral describes it as "partial 16S ribosomal RNA". It matches the Rfam family "Bacterial small subunit ribosomal RNA", at positions 354 to 796 of the family's 1533-position model. The record is from RNAcentral.